This 220-nucleotide ribosomal RNA is filed under the name uncultured bacterium. RNAcentral describes it as "partial 16S ribosomal RNA". It matches the Rfam family "Bacterial small subunit ribosomal RNA", at positions 114 to 334 of the family's 1533-position model. The record is from RNAcentral.
CGCGUGGAUAACCUGCCUCACACAGGGGGAUAACAGUUGGAAACGACUGCUAAUACCGCAUAAGCGCACAGCACCGCAUGGUGCAGUGUGAAAAACUCCGGUGGUGUGAGAUGGAUCCGCGUCUGAUUAGCUAGUUGGCGGGGUAACGGCCCACCAAGGCGACGAUCAGUAGCCGGCCUGAGAGGGCGACCGGCCACAUUGGGACUGAGACACGGCCCAG